Molecule: ribosomal RNA, 264 nt
Filed under: uncultured bacterium
Lineage: Bacteria
Description: partial 16S ribosomal RNA
Rfam family: Bacterial small subunit ribosomal RNA
Source: RNAcentral
UUUUAGUGGCGGACGGGUGAGUAACGCGUGGGUAACCUGCCUCACACUGGGGGAUAACACUUAGAAAUAGGUGCUAAUACCGCAUAAGCGCACGGGACUGCACGGUCUUGUGUGAAAAACUCCGGUGGUGUGAGAUGGACCCGCGUCUGAUUAGCUGGUUGGCGGGGUAACGGCCCACCAAGGCGACGAUCAGUAGCCGGCCUGAGAGGGUGGACGGCCACAUUGGGACUGAGACACGGCCCAAACUCCUACGGAAGGCAGCAG